RNAcentral lists this ribosomal RNA (441 nucleotides) under uncultured bacterium. RNAcentral describes it as "partial 16S ribosomal RNA". It matches the Rfam family "Bacterial small subunit ribosomal RNA", at positions 338 to 795 of the family's 1533-position model. The record is from RNAcentral.
CCUACGGGGGGCAGCAGUGGGGAAUAUUGGGCAAUGGGCGCAAGCCUGACCCAGCAACGCCGCGUGAAGGAUGAAGGUUUUCGGAUUGUAAACUUCUGUCGCGAGGGACGAAGAAUGACGGUACCUGACUAAGAAGCCCCGGCUAACUACGUGCCAGCAGCCGCGGUAAUACGUAGGGGGCAAGCGUUAUCCGGAUUUACUGGGUGUAAAGGGAGCGUAGACGGUUAAUCAAGUCAGAAGUGAAAACCCAGGGCUCAACCUUGGGACUGCUUUUGAAACUGAGUAGCUAGAGUGCAGGAGAGGUAAGCGGAAUUCCUAGUGUAGCGGUGAAAUGCGUAGAUAUUAGGAGGAACACCAGUGGCGAAGGCGGCUUACUGGACUGUAACUGACGUUGAGGCUCGAAAGCGUGGGGAGCAAACAGGAUUAGAUACCCGAGUAGUC